Molecule: non-coding RNA, 73 nt
Organism: Potamilus streckersoni
Lineage: Eukaryota; Metazoa; Mollusca; Bivalvia; Unionida; Unionidae
Source: the annotation of a GenBank genome assembly
GCUUAGGUGGCUUAGUGGUUGGAGCGUCCGCCUCGGAUGCGGAAGAUCAUGGGUUCGAUCCCCGGCCGAGUCA